Podarcis lilfordi (Lilford's wall lizard) is the source of this 77-nucleotide non-coding RNA. Lineage: Eukaryota; Metazoa; Chordata; Lepidosauria; Squamata; Lacertidae. The record is from the annotation of a GenBank genome assembly.
GCCCACAGGGAUACUUCAGUUGGUGCAGCAUAAGACGUUUGAUCUCAGGGUUGUGGGUUCAAGCCCCACGUUGGACA